AGCGAACGCUGGCGGCAGGCUUAACACAUGCAAGUCGAGCGGGCACUUUCGGGUGUCAGCGGCGGACGGGUGAGUAACGCGUGGGAACGUGCCCUCUGGUUCGGAAUAACUCAGGGAAACUUGAGCUAAUACCGGAUACGCCCUUUUGGGGAAAGGCUUGCUGCCGGAGGAUCGGCCCGCGUCUGAUUAGCUAGUUGGUGAGGUAACGGCUCACCAAGGCGACGAUCAGUAGCUGGUCUGAGAGGAUGGUCAGCCACACUGGGACUGAGACACGGCCCAGACUCCUACGGGAGGCAGCAGUGGGGAAUAUUGGACAAUGGGCGCAAGCCUGAUCCAGCCAUGCCGGGUGAGUGAUGAAGGCCUUAGGGUUGUAAAGCUCUUUUAUCCGGGACGAUAAUGACGGUACCGGAGGAAUAAGCCCCGGCUAACUUCGUG
Molecule: ribosomal RNA, 435 nt
Filed under: uncultured bacterium
Lineage: Bacteria
Description: partial 16S ribosomal RNA
Rfam family: Bacterial small subunit ribosomal RNA
Source: RNAcentral